GAAUCCUUUGCGGGUCCGGCCUCCGAUCCCUGUGUGGCUGUUUGGCGGGUGGGCGCUGUGUUCCUCUCUCGUAAAGCCGUGCGGUCUGUGGGCCGCCAUUCAGAAACUGGAUGGACAGCUUCGGCGGUGGGAAGGGAAGGGACAUGCUGCAGGCCACCCUCCGGCUAGAAGGAGGGAGUACUUGAGGAACAAGGUCUGCGAAAAUUGGCUGUGCUCUGUUCUAAAACUUGGAAUGGCCUCAGUACCUGGGGAAUGUGUUUAAAAUGCAGACUUAAAUGUCCGUUUCUCCAUUCUAAUUUCAGUAGGUAUGAAUCUGCGUUUUUACUCCUCACAAGCCUUCCAAGUGAUUCUGAGGCAGGUGCUGUGGCUGUACUUGGAUUAUCACAGGGUUAGAUUAUCAGGCUAUUUAUGAUUUAGCUGUAUCUAAACCACCUUUCCCUCUCUUUCCUCCUUUGAACUGUUUGAAACGGAUUUGUUCCCUUCUGUCUCUUAUUUUUCAGUGCUGUAAGCUGUUAACACACAUGAGACUGUCUUCACUACCAAACCAAGUCUCCUAAAGCUCACUUGAAUGUCUGCUUAUUCGUGUCUCUUACUAGGUUCAAUUUCUUGGAGGCCGUGAUUAUAUCUAUUUAACGCUUUUCCUUGUACCUAAUAAAAUGUCUGGUGC
Molecule: long non-coding RNA, 667 nt
Filed under: Homo sapiens (human)
Lineage: Eukaryota; Metazoa; Chordata; Mammalia; Primates; Hominidae
Description: non-protein coding lnc-POLR3G-1:5
Source: RNAcentral